AAUACGAAGGGGGCUAGCGUUGCUCGGAAUCACUGGGCGUAAAGCGCACGUAGGCGGAUUGCUAAGUCAGGGGUGAAAUCCUGGAGCUUAACUCCAGGACUGCCUUUGAUACUGGCGAUCUUGAGUCCGGGAGAGGUGAGUGGAACUGCGAGUGUAGAGGUGAAAUUCGUAGAUAUUCGCAAGAACACCAGUGGCGAAGGCGGCUCACUGGCCCGGUACUGACGCUGAGGUGCGAAAGCGUGGGGAGCAAACAGG
This 255-nucleotide ribosomal RNA is filed under the name uncultured prokaryote. RNAcentral describes it as "partial 16S ribosomal RNA". It matches the Rfam family "Bacterial small subunit ribosomal RNA", at positions 522 to 776 of the family's 1533-position model. The record is from RNAcentral.